GACGAACGCUGGCGGCGUGCCUAAUACAUGCAAGUCGAGCGGAACUGGGGGAGCUUGCUCCUUCCAGUUUAGCGGCGGACGGGUGAGUAACACGUGGGCAACCUGCCCUGCAGAUCGGGAUAACUCCGGGAAACCGGUGCUAAUACCGAAUAGUUUGGCGCCUCUCCUGAGGCGCUACGGAAAGACGGUUUCGGCUGUCACUGCAGGAUGGGCCCGCGGCGCAUUAGCUAGUUGGUGGGGUAACGGCCCACCAAGGCGACGAUGCGUAGCCGACAUGAGAGGGUGACCGGCCACCCUGGGACUGAGACACGGCCCAGACUCCUAGGGGAGGAAGCAGUAGGGAAUCUUCCGCAAUGUACGCAAGUCUGACGGAGCAACGCCGCGUGAGUGACGAAGGUUUUCGGAUCGUAAAACUCUGUUGUGAGGGAAGAACACAUACCAACUAACUAUUGGUACCUUGACGGUACCUCACCAGAAAGCCACGGCUAACUACGUGCCAGCCGCCGCCGUAA
This 512-nucleotide ribosomal RNA is filed under the name uncultured bacterium. Its description in RNAcentral is "partial 16S ribosomal RNA". It matches the Rfam family "Bacterial small subunit ribosomal RNA", at positions 28 to 523 of the family's 1533-position model. The record is from RNAcentral.